This is a long non-coding RNA of Lynx canadensis (Canada lynx), 5132 nucleotides long. RefSeq lists it as uncharacterized. The transcript has 6 exons. NCBI's taxonomy places the organism in Eukaryota, Metazoa, Chordata, Mammalia, Carnivora, Felidae. The record is from RefSeq and is a predicted model, not a curated record.
AGAGAGGGAGAGAGAGAGAAUCCCAAGGAGGCUCUGUGCUGUCAGCGCAGAGCCCAGCGCGGGGCUUGAACCCAUGUUCCGCGAGAUCGUGAAACCAAGACCCCGAGGCCUAACCGACUGAGCCACCCGGCGCCCCUCUUUGGGUUUUAAAUUGUAAACGUAGCACAUUUCACACGAAGAGACGCAUCUUUCCUGCUUGGCUGAAAAUUCCGGUUGGAGGGUGUGGAUUCGGAUGUUUUUGUGUUUGCCAAGUGUUAACUUGCGGCCAGUUAAACAGUGUUCCUGGAGGCAGCAAGGGAGGGGGAGACAGGUCCCCCUUCGAGACUCACGGGCUCGGGUCCAGCAUGCCCAGCCUGCAACCUGGGCUCAGGGGACAUCGCGAAGCCUAGAACAGCAGGAGUCCCCACGAGCCACAGCCGCCAGGCUUGGUGGGCUUCUCGGGGCCACCUGACGACAGUUCUGAAUUUCCCCCCACUCUGCGCCACACGUGUUUCAAACCUCACUCUAGAAUUCUCCCAGCUGUCCCCCUGCCCUCCUCAGCAGGUGGCCCCAAGAAAAUGUCACCAAGGCAAUUUCGCCAAGAAAACAGAAGCCAUCAGGACGAAACAGUCUUCACUCUUGCUAGAAACCCUUGCAUUUCGCCUACUCCUUCACCCCUCCCAGCCUUGUCCUCACAGGACACACGGUGAAGGCACAUACUGUUUUAUGAUGAAACAUUUUUUCCUACAUUAAUAUUGAUGUCAGCUUAAUAUUCCAUUUCGCAAACGUACUAUCAAUACUGGGAUCCUGGUUAGGUGUUUACAACUCUCCUUCAGAACAAGCCCGGAUUUGUAGCGUUCGCCAAUUUCCCUGGUGCAAAUAUUCCGGACCACCUCCAAUUUCAAGAUUGCCUUUUUCCUUUGUCGAUGGUUGCUUGGACUGUGCAGAAUCUGACACCUUAUGGGCCAAAAAAGUAAGAAAGGGCUCAAAGACUGAUGGGAAGAGAAGCAAAAGACAUCGGAUCGAGCUGGACGGGCUCCCACUGGAUAGAUCUGGGACGAUUUGUAUAGCAAAACAAGAAAGGUAAUAUCAGAUUGUAUCCCACUGAACAAAAAAGGAAUCCGUGAGGUCAUGAUGAUAUAAAUAAAUGAAUAAAUACGUAAGUGGAGGAGAAAAGGUGCCUUUUCUAUAUAGUGAAAUGCCAACUAAUAAUAGACAUUUAUUGAUAAAUAAGUACCACAUACUUCACAGUGGAGAAACCUGGUGGAAGCUUUCUAAAUCAAGUGGUGAAGUUCAACAUCCUCGGUGGCACCACGUGACUUCCGAUAUGAUGCCCCGAGGACACGUUAUCUCACGUCUCACUUCUGGGAGAUUCCUGCUCCAGUGGCAUAACCCGAAUGGAAUCAUGAGGAAACAUCAGGAAACCCACAACAAGGAACCGUCUGCCGGGUGACUGUAGCGUUCAAAAUGCCGUGGUCAGUAAAGACAAGAAAGGUCUGACGAACGGGUAGAAAGCCAUCACCGCUAAGUAAACAGUGAUUCUAGACCCUGGGACUCUGAAGGACAAUAUUUGCAAAGCGGGCAAAAUCGGAAAGAGGGUUACAGCUGCCAUGAUGAUAUUGUGUGAGUCAGAGUUUGCAAAUGGAAGGAUUUAAACCCCAACGCUGGAUCCUGGUUCUCCAAAUGAACCGACUGAUAGCGCGAGAGACGUGACAGGUCCUCUUUGGCGCCCCCUGUGUCCUCCACCUCUGUUUGCUGUCCCUUUCUGCUCCCGGUCUCCACCCCUGCAGACCCCACUGAACAGUUUCAUCUCAAGGAACCUCCAGCCCGAAAAUGAAGACUUUAGACAAGGUGCCCCGUGUGCCCUUCAAAGGAACACUCCAGGAGUCUUCUGGGGUCGGGCCUCCCCUCUCUGGCAGCCCGUCCACAGACAGAUGGGGGAAGAGGGAGGCAAAAGGCAACUAAGCUGACAAAGAGGUGCAAACCCUGGAACGGAACGCAGAUGCAAGUAAUGUAUUUGCAGCGGAUCCCAGGAGACACUGCAGGGGAGGGGAAAGGGGGCCAGGAAAGGGAGCAUUAUAGAGCCACUCCUGCAGAAGGUAAGUGGCACCCAGGCCCCCUGGGGAACCCAGGGAGCCCCUCAGAGUCACCCCAACUGUGGGGCCAGAGGGUUGAGGAAACCGGGCACGUAUCCAUCACAUCUCUGCCUGCCCGCCACUGGCUGAGGGCCGCUUCUCUUUGGCUUUUGUGGCUGGAUAUCAUCCCCAGGAGAUUCUCCACCAGCGCACAGGGCUGGGCAUUUAGGCAGUGGCCGUGGCCCUAGAUGUAGUGGGAACAGACAGGAGUGUCAGGAAGGUGCACACCAUGGUCUUCUAACCUUGACUUUGCCUCGGCCUCUGUUUCCUUAAUGGGGCGCCCCCUGCAGCGUCAAACCCCGAUCUGGCCUGCUGACCCUCCUCCUUCAUGUCCCAUGCUGCCUUUCUGGGUCUCAUCUGCGACAUCUGAUGCUGACGCAGCCGUUCCCACUUCUCCUUUCCUGUCUCAACCUCAACAUCCCGAAAUCUUAUGUUCUGUUUGACCAGGACGCGGUAAGGCCAGGCUCCUUGCCUGCGUGGAGCCUGCGCGUCAUUGAGGUACGCCUUUCAGGGUCAAGUGCUACACCUGUAGGUGAAUUUCCGGGGGAGGGGAGGGGCUGGCAGUGCUCUCUCUGCCACCCAGUCCCAGGCCACGCUGUCUGCCUACUUGGCAGAAGAGAUUGCUUCCGACCCCGGGCCCCUCUGGGGACACCAAAGACAGAUUGACGGGCGUCUCACAGAUGGACACGAGGGCCUUUGGGGGACUCUGGUGGCCCCUAGGCAGUAGCCUACCCUUGCCCCCUCCACACCACUGCCUUUUAUCCCCACCUCGUCUAAUCUCCUUCCCUAGCCUCUCUCUCUACCACCCCUUCUUCCCCAGGCAGUCUUUUCUCCUCCUUAAUCUCCACCUCUGCUCUCACGCCUGGUAGCUCCCAGGCUGUCUUGCCCCACAAAGUGCUGCCAACCCAGCCUGGCAAACCAGAGGAAGUAGGUCCAGUAAUCUGUCCCCUGCAUUCUGCCCAGCUGCCCUCUUGUGCUGGGUCAUGUCCCGUCGUGAAUGAGGAUGUUGGGCACGACCAUGACCCAGGACAGACGAGAAGCCACCCUGCCUGGAUCACCCAAGAGGCCACCUCCUCCCUGCAGCCCUUCCCACUCCACUCUCUGCAGCCAGAAAUCAUCCGGGAGAGGCAGGUGCGGGGGCUCUGAGGGGCUUAUGGGUUUUUUUUUUGUUUUGUUUUGCUUUGUUUUGUGUUUGCAGGGGUGGGGCUCGGGCAUGAGCAAAAGCUGCGGAGCGUCUUAAGGCCUGGCCUCAGAAGUCACCUCGUGUCACCUCUGCUGCGUUGUGAGGGUCGAAGCACGUCACCGAGCCCAGCCACAGCCAAGGAGUCGGGAGAUGGGACACGUUGGUUUAGUUGGAGUGGUGCAGUCACGCUGUGGAAGGCCGUGUGCCCCAGGAUGGGGUGGUGGGGGGGCCUUGAAACUGUAUUUUACCCUCCACCGAAGUACACGUCUCCUCCAGUCUCUGGCCAAGGGCUUCCUUGAACCCUCUCCCCCAUGGCCAUGUCUUCCAUGCUCCUCGGCCACUCACGCCCGUGACCCUAACUCCCGGAUCUCGCCAUCAGAGCAACCGCGGCCCCUCAUACCUUGGCUCCCGGCACCCCAGCCUCUGACCCCACUCCCACCUCUCCUGCCAUUCGGCACCAACAGGUCCUUGACCCCAGUGGGGCUGUGGGUAUGUCAAUUUUCUACAGACCGUCAGCCUCCUUAUACUGCCCACCAGCCUGACCCCACGGGCCAUUGCUCCGGUCUCCGUCCCCCACCCCCUUACCUCCACCCUCAGCUCUCAGGCUCUUUUCUGACCUCGUGGUGUCCACCCAGCAAAAUCCGGCCUCGGGCACAGCCAGCCCCACGCCCGCACCCACGAAGUUGAAUGCGGCUGGAGGGAACCCCGCAGGCGUCCUGCGAGAACUGAGUUGUAACCCGCCGUCGGAAGGCGGGGAGGAACGAAGAGGCGAUAACAACCCUUCAGACCUCAGAUCUGAGCCGUGGACGGAUCUUAGGCGUGCGGACCUCUCCCCUCCUCCUUCUAGUCCGAGAGCCGAAUCCGGGCACUGGCUCGCGCUGGCUCUUCCCUCCCACCGCAUUCACCACAUGUCCACGAAGUACACCCGAUCUCGGUCGCGCACUGGACAGUUACGGGGCUCAGCGGAGCUAGGCAGGGCCGGGAACCAGCGCGAACUCCAGGGUUGGUCUGGGGGCUGGCCGCACCCGCAUCACGUGGGAGCUUGUUGAGAAGAAAGGUUCUCAGGGCCUCACCCCGGACCUGCAGAAUCAGAAUCCCCGGGGGCGGGUGUCGGACCCGGAAGCUGUGUUUGGGGCAAGCCCUCUGGUGCCUCUUAUUUAUGCUGGAGUUUGAGGAUCGUGUCGAGACACUUGCCGAUUAGUGUGUGACACCAAGGCCCGGGCGCUCGUCCAAAACGGCAGGCCCUGGGACCUCACCGCGGGCCCCCUGAAAGAGAAACUGCGUUUUCACCGGGGCCCCCCAGGGAUCUGUCACGGGCCCAGGGGCUGGAGGUGGCCGAAGGACGCGUCCCAGGGCGUAGACGCUCAGGAAGCCUUGGGUGACUGGUUGUCGCACAGAAGGAGCACCCUCGCCGGGCUGCCCAGAUAGGUUCCACUUCCCGGGCCCACGCUGAGGCUCAGCGGGGACGCCCUGGGGCCCGACCUCGCAUCUGGUCCCUACGCUGUAUUAGCGAGGCUGAGGGAGAGUCGCGCCUACCCGUCGCCAGUGGGGGUAGAAAUCCGGUCCCCCUCCCCGGAGGGCUCUUUGGCCAUGUCUGCCGCGCCCCAGGCUGGACGGACGGAGCAAAGGCCGUGUGCCCUGGAUGCCGCCAGCAGGAAGGCCCUGGUGGGGAAGGUACAAUGUCUCUGGAAGGAAGCAGGAUGAACGGCUAAUAUUCCUGGUCCCUGGGGAGGGAAGCAGGUGCGCCUGGGGGAGACACCAAGCCCGAGUUUUCACUGUCUGUUACUUUGUACCGCUUGGCUUUUGUACCAAGUACAACUGUUACCCGCCUGGUG